AGCUUGGUGGAAAGAAAAGGUAAAGUUUGAUAAGAAUGGGCCAGCAGCCAUAGCAAAAUAUGAAGCUGAGUGUUUGGCCAUGGUUGAGGCAGAUAAAAAUCGAAAUGGAAACUCCCAAAGUAUUCUUCAAGACCUGCAAGAUGCAACUUUGGGAUCUCUCUUGUCUUCUUUAAUGCAGCAUUGUGAUCCCCCUCAAAGGAAGUAUCCUUUAGAGAAAGGAGUUCCACCACCUUGGUGGCCAACUGGGAACGAAGAAUGGUGGUUAAAGUUAGGACUACCCCAAGGUCAGAGUCCUCCUUAUAAGAAACCUCAUGAUUUAAAGAAGAUGUGGAAAGUUGGGGUAUUAUCAGCUGUAAUAAAGCACAUGUCACCUGAUAUUGCAAAAAUCCGGAGGCAUGUCCGCUCGUCAAAAUGCUUACAGGACAAGAUGACUGCAA
RNAcentral lists this unclassified non-coding RNA (437 nucleotides) under Hevea brasiliensis (rubber tree). The record is from RNAcentral. Lineage: Eukaryota; Viridiplantae; Streptophyta; Magnoliopsida; Malpighiales; Euphorbiaceae.